GACGAACGCUGGCGGCGUGCCUAAUACAUGCAAGUAGAACGCUGAAGGAGGAGCUUGCUUCUCUGGAUGAGUUGCGAACGGGUGAGUAACGCGUAGGUAACCUGCCUGGUAGCGGGGGAUAACUAUUGGAAACGAUAGCUAAUACCGCAUAAUAGUAGAUGUUGCAUGACAUUUGCUUAAAAGGUGCAAUUGCAUCACUACCAGAUGGACCUUCGUUGUAUUAGCUAGUUGGUGAGGUAACGGCUCACAAAGGCGACGAGACAUAGCCGACCUGGGAAGGUAAUCACCCACACUUGAAAUAGGACAUGGCCAAGAUUCCUAAAGGAGGCAGCAGUAGGGAAUCUUCGGCAAUGGAAGGAAGUCUGACCGAGCAACGCCGCGUGAGUGAAGAAGGAUGUCGGAUCGUAAAGAUCGGUUGUAAGAGAAGAACGAGUGUGAGAGUGGAAAGUUCACACUGUGACGGUAUCUUACCAGAAAGGGACGGCUAACUACGUG
Molecule: ribosomal RNA, 495 nt
Filed under: uncultured bacterium
Lineage: Bacteria
Description: partial 16S ribosomal RNA
Rfam family: Bacterial small subunit ribosomal RNA
Source: RNAcentral